Non-coding RNA from Paramuricea clavata, 390 nucleotides. Lineage: Eukaryota; Metazoa; Cnidaria; Anthozoa; Malacalcyonacea; Plexauridae. The record is from the annotation of a GenBank genome assembly.
GCUAAAUUUGUUUUAAAAUUCAUCAUUUUAGUGAAAUGGUGUGGAACACAAUGUGUUCUUUUCUGCUGGUCCUGGUUGUUGCAAGGAGACAUCGGGCAUUGUAAUGAAUGGAUGACGAUGUGUUGCUGGCAAACCUACACCAUCUGCAUUUUCUUGGUGGAUAUCUUGGGCAAAUGUGCAAUAUGAUGAGGGAUAUCUUGGGCAAAUAUCUUGUAUAAAUUGGCACGAUUACUUACCUUAAAUUACUAAAGAAGGAUAUUGUAAGGUUAGUGGAUAUUUAUAACAGUGAUAAAAUGGGGGUUCCCUGUGAAUAGGAACGAAGUAAGGCUGCCCAAUUAAGUGGAAACAAUAUUGCGGAGUGUAACAAUCUAAAAAUAUGGCGGACUGAAA